Molecule: ribosomal RNA, 491 nt
Filed under: uncultured bacterium
Lineage: Bacteria
Description: partial 16S ribosomal RNA
Rfam family: Bacterial small subunit ribosomal RNA
Source: RNAcentral
GAUGAACGCUGGCUACAGGCUUAACACAUGCAAGUCGAGGGGAAACGACGGGGAAGCUUGCUUCCCCGGGCGUCGACCGGCGCACGGGUGAGUAACGCGUAUCCAACCUGCCUCUGACUGAGGGAUAACCCGUCGAAAGUCGGCCUAAUACCUCAUGGUAUCGUCUGCGGGCAUCCAACGACGAUUAAAGAUUUCAUCGGUCAGGGAUGGGGAUGCGUCUGAUUAGCUUGUUGGCGGGGUAACGGCCCACCAAGGCUACGAUCAGUAGGGGUUCUGAGAGGAAGGUCCCCCACAUUGGAACUGAGACACGGUCCAAACUCCUACGGGAGGCAGCAGUGAGGAAGAUUGGGCAAUGGGCGAGAGCCUGAACCAGCCAAGUAGCGUGCAGGAAGACGGCCCUAUGGGUUGUAAACUGCUUUUAUGCGGGGAUAAAGUGAGGGACGUGUCCCUCAUUGCAGGUACCGCAUGAAUAAGGACCGGCUAAUUCCGUG